GCUCUCUUUGGUGACUUCCUGAAGCUUGAAGUAUCUUCCUUGGGAGACGUAUUAUAGAAUUUGAAAUCCCACUGGCCAGAUCUCAGCAUGUAGUUUCAUCCCAACUCUACAGAAGUCUGGAAAAUACAGAGAGAACAUGGAAGAAGAGAUGAGAGCUCCAUCUCUCUGCUGGUGGAAGGAGAGGUUGUCUUUCCCUUCCCAUAGGGCAAGAAGAGCUGCCUCCACAUCCUCCUUCUGCUGUAGCUGAAGAGCCUGUUUAAAGGAACAUCCUGAUGGGGCUCAGCCUUUUGACCCCCAGAAAACAUGGCUUUGUCUGCCAUCCUGCAGCUCAUCAUGGGAGCCUGCAAAGUGGUUGGGGGCAGCACACACCAGCAUGCUGUGAAGAGAGGAAAGAGCUGCCGGGAUAACAACCCCGCAGCCACCAUAAUGACUCAGAUUAGAACACAAGGGAACACCAGCCAUUUUUUAGUCUGUCAGUUUUUCUAUUAUCCUCAAGACUGAGCAUGAAACAUUCAUUAUAACACGUCCUUAUUGAUUCAACUGAUGGAAAUAUAUUGGUAUUAAUAACACGA
RNAcentral lists this long non-coding RNA (572 nucleotides) under Homo sapiens (human). RNAcentral's name for it is "HSALNT0364781". Lineage: Eukaryota; Metazoa; Chordata; Mammalia; Primates; Hominidae. The record is from RNAcentral.